UUGGUAGAUGCUUCCUAUUGCAUUAGUAGUCACCCUAUAUGCUUGAGAGUAGAUGAUGUAUAGGUGUGAGAUAGUUUGGAAGAUUGUAAACUUUAUGUUUAUGUUUUGAAAGAAUGUAAAGUUAAUCAAGUGUAUUAAAGUUGAAUGGAUGUAAAAGAUUAGUAUAUCUCUUUUGUUCACUUGUUUAUUACUUGUGAUGCUUGCUCUUGAUUGUUUAGCACUGGUUGUGCUCUCGCUAUUGUUGUUGAUUGUGUAUGUAUUUCAAGUUGUUUUUCCUCGGCACUUGUUGUACACAAUCUUGAUGCUUAGCCUUCGGCGGACAGAAGAG
Molecule: long non-coding RNA, 328 nt
Filed under: Ananas comosus (pineapple)
Lineage: Eukaryota; Viridiplantae; Streptophyta; Magnoliopsida; Poales; Bromeliaceae
Description: long non-coding RNA (ACOM_LNC016681)
Source: RNAcentral